Molecule: ribosomal RNA, 253 nt
Filed under: uncultured bacterium
Lineage: Bacteria
Description: partial 16S ribosomal RNA
Rfam family: Bacterial small subunit ribosomal RNA
Source: RNAcentral
UACGUAGGGGGCAAGCGUUGUCCGGAUUUACUGGGCGUAAAGGGCUCGUAGGCGGCCAACUAAGUCAGACGUGAAAUCCCUCGGCUUAACCGGGGAACUGCGUCUGAUACUGGAUGGCUAGAGUUUGGGAGAGGGAUGCGGAAUUCCAGGUGUAGCGGUGAAAUGCGUAGAUAUCUGGAGGAACACCGGUGGCGAAGGCGGCAUCCUGGACCAACACUGACGCUGAGGAGCGAAAGCCAGGGGAGCAAACGGG